UCACAUGUCUGGAGAUCCUUGGAAGACCCAUGAAGCAGUCAGUAUGUGGGGAGAUCUGUUGUCUGAGAAACAUUAUCUUAGAUGCAUGUCUGGAAAUUGAGGUGUUUUUAGGGGAACCCUCAAAACUUUGGUUAAGAAGACACAAUUCUCAGGUGAACACUCUGUGAGAACUCUUGUACUCUCCCAUAUUAUGAUCAAAAUGCCUUUUUGGAGAGUUAAGAAUACAGGUACCAAGCAACAGAAGAUUGAUAUAAAGAUGAUAUGAAUUAACAAUGGUAAUCAUACCAUGAACCUGGCAUCGCUCAACAUAUGCUUUUAGCAUUUUUGUUAUUGUUACAACAUGUUCUGUCAUUUCAGAAAAAAAGAGAAAAUAAAAUCCCUCCAAAUGUA
Bubalus bubalis (water buffalo) is the source of this 390-nucleotide long non-coding RNA. RefSeq lists it as uncharacterized. The transcript has 3 exons. Lineage: Eukaryota; Metazoa; Chordata; Mammalia; Artiodactyla; Bovidae. The record is from RefSeq and is a predicted model, not a curated record.